AUGUUGUCAAGCUGGCCGGGCUCCAGGAACACUGAGAGGUGCCAGCCGGAGCCAAAACAAGCUCAGGCUGACCUGAUGGCAGGGAACCAGACACAGGCAGUGCAGAGCCUGCAUCAGACGGACACUCCCCUGGGCCCCAGACCGAGAGCAGGAACUGAAACACAGACUCAGUCAAACACACAAACAUGGAAGGUCUGCAAACAGCCACAGGGGAGGUGCUGGUGUUGGGGCUCCGCCGGCACCAGGAGGCUCCCAGUCCUGACCCAGCAUGCCCUCUGCUUCCCGGGGCCGCAAGACUCUGCCUUCCCUGUGCCUGUGCGUUGCUGGAAGUGGUUCAAGGAUAUGUGCGCCGGGCAAGGAGACACUCUGUCAGUACCAUCUCCCUUGAUCCUGGAAGGAGGAGACAGCCCUGACGAUGAGAAGAAAUCGAAGCUUUCAGAGGGCAAAUGACUUGCUCCCACGUUGGAUACUUAGUAGGCGAGAUGAGCUCUGAUUCUAAAGCCUGCACUCUUAACUGAUCCAAGACGUGGAGGUGGAGGUGGGAACCUGUGCUUGUCUGACUCACAUGCUGAAGGUACCGGAGAUCCCAUUUCAGAACCAGGGUGGGGAACCGGAAGUUAAAAAGCUUAUGCUGAAUUCCAUGGAGCUAGACCAGUGAACUAUUCCUGGCCAGUGGCAGAAAGGAAGCUGGGACCAUCUAGGCUGGGCCCCUGGGCUCGUGGGGUGAUCAGUCAGCUGGCAAAGAGGCCUCAGGGCUGUGUGGGGUUUCCCUCCUGUUCCUCAGGGCCCUGCUCAGGGAAGGCUUCCCCUUCCCCGGGAACCCUUUGGAGUGUUGUGCUGAUGCCGGCGAGGGUGUUCUGCAGGGCUACAGAACUCAGCAGGAACGGCCCUGGGCGGCUCCUGUGUGAGCACGUCUGAGUGAGAUGCAGGCAUGGCACCUACCCUGGUUAGCAGGAGCUCCUCGCUGCACCAAGAUCCC
Molecule: long non-coding RNA, 979 nt
Filed under: Fukomys damarensis (Damara mole-rat)
Lineage: Eukaryota; Metazoa; Chordata; Mammalia; Rodentia; Bathyergidae
Description: lncRNA (ENSFDAG00000028209.1)
Source: RNAcentral